Molecule: ribosomal RNA, 489 nt
Filed under: uncultured bacterium
Lineage: Bacteria
Description: bacterial SSU rRNA
Rfam family: Bacterial small subunit ribosomal RNA
Source: RNAcentral
ACGAGUUUGAUCAGUCGGCUCGAAGGACGAACGCUGGCGGCGUGCCUAACACAUGCAAGUCGAACGGGGUGAUUCCUUCGGGGAUCACUUAGUGGCGAACGGGUGAGUAACGCGUGAGAAACCUGCCUUCCAGUGGGGGACAACAGUUAGAAAUGACUGCUAAUACCGCAUAAUGUUUUCGAGGGGCAUCCCUUGAAAACCAAAGCUUUAUGUGCUGGAAGAUGGUCUCGCGUCUGAUUAGCUAGUUGGUGAGGUAACGGCUCACCAAGGCGACGAUCAGUAGCCGGUCUGAGAGGAUGAACGGCCACAUUGGGACUGAGAUACGGCCUAGACUCCUACGGGAGGCAGCAGUGGGGAAUAUUGGGCAAUGGGGGAAACCCUGACCCAGCAACGCCGCGUGAAGGAAGAAGGCCUUCGGGUUGUAAACUUCUUUUAGCAGGGACGAAGAACGUGACGGUACCUGCAGAAAAAGCAACGGCUAACUACGUG